GAGAAGAAAUGGCGGCACGAAAAGUGUUGCGGAGGAUGCGGAGUUCCCAGUCCCGCCAUGCUGUAGGCGUUGAAAAAUGAUCUCCUCGCACCCCAAAAUAGCACAGAGGAGGCCCUGAAACCAGAUGGGGCCACGUGGGUGGAAACAAGGAGGUUCUCUUCAGUGGCUGGCACUAAACAGCACCCAAGGAACAAUCAGGAUGAAGGUCUCAGCCGAUGCCGCUGUGGCUAGAUGACGUUUGGACCUGAUUAAAGAAGGACAACAAAGGCCAAUUUGCCAUCACCAAAGGAGCAGCUUGACCUGGAGGGAUGAGGCCUGGAGGCCGACAGCAGGACCCCGUCAGUGAUUCUUUCGGCUCUUGAAAAUGAUCCCUGAAUCCAACGGAGCUGCAUCUACAGAAUGAAAAAGUCCAAGAAAGACACUUUCUCGCACC
This 433-nucleotide small RNA is filed under the name Pan troglodytes (chimpanzee). RNAcentral describes it as "processed transcript". Lineage: Eukaryota; Metazoa; Chordata; Mammalia; Primates; Hominidae. The record is from RNAcentral.